Molecule: long non-coding RNA, 2526 nt
Organism: Malaclemys terrapin pileata
Lineage: Eukaryota; Metazoa; Chordata; Testudines; Emydidae
Exons: 5
Source: RefSeq, a predicted model, not a curated record
CUACGAAGGAGACUGCUGUGAGAUGCACCACUCCCAAAACCGCCCUGACUGACAGUAAAGCAAUAUGCCCCAGGAAGUGGGGCUGAAGGUAGUGUGCAUUACAAUAGUGAAGCCUGAAGGUGACAAAUGCAUGGACCACCAUGGCCAGAUCCUUAUGUGUCAGAGGUCAUCAAGUGAUUGGGGACACAGAACAGAAUGAACCAGGACUGGUGAAGUCAUUUCAGAUGUUAAUCUUUUCAGUAGUAAAGUACAAUGAAGCUCUUCACAGUAGGAUGCACUUGGAUCUGAGUGUGUUAACAGCAAUCAGCAGCUGCCUGACAAAUAGUUGGCUACCAAACUUCCCUAGAGAGUGAAUCAUUUGCAGUGAUAUCAGGGAAAUUCCUAAUCAUAAUCGGUGAGAUUUAUUGAUGCCACUAAUGCGGUGAUGUAUGAGCUUUUGGGAGAAGCCAUUUGAAAAGAUGUAUAUGCAGUCUUCAAGCUACUGGAUUUCCAGAUGCACACUGAUCCUCUCCAACUGCAGCUGCUUCUGCUCCAGCUACUGAGCUGUCCACCAUUCCUAAUUCAGUGAUAUGCUUGGUCUGGAUGGAAUAUAAUUGCUGCAUCUGUCAACCUCUUUCCUGCUUCCCUCCAGGGCAUUGGCUCCAAGACUUCCCUUGUGUGCUGGACUCUCAGACAGCCGUCUGGAGGUUCUUUGUGAACUUGGACCAUCGUUUCUUGCAGGGCUUUGGAGCGGAGCCCAGAGCUGGAGCGUGGAGCAGCUCUGGAGCAGUGGAGCUGCAGGUUUUUGCCUGGAGCUGGAGUGGAGCCAGAGCACAUCUCCAAAGCCCUGGUUUCUUGACUGGUUGUUCAAAUACAGCUGUGAUUUUGUUCUAUCCACAGGGUUGAUCUGUCCUUCUCAGCAUAACUCAACCACCUGAUUUUAAUUCAGCUGGUCAUAAUUCAUUUCCCCCUUUCCCUCUUUCUGCUAUUUCCCCCCAUAAACAGACUAUUGAAGCUUUUUCCUUUGUGCUUUUCGGUCUACAGUACACGUUUUUGCUGCUCUUGGCACUUAUGCAAUUCACACUGUUACAGAUCCCACAAACUCUGCCACCAUAUAUGUCACAUUUCUAGGCAACUGCACCUGUAUUUCCCCUCAGUGGUCCAGCAAGGGACACUCACUGCCAGGCUUCCAGCUCCCCAGCUGUUGCCUUGCUUGGGUGGAGACCUGUGACGCUCUCCCUUCUGACUGGGGUAUUUCCAGGCUGCUCACAUCCCUGCCUUCACUGUGUUACUCCCAGCACAGACAGGUUACCCAAGCACACCUGCUUGCUUUCUCCUCAGAAAUGGUUAACAAGUGUAAUUGCUACAGUUAUAAGUACCACACAGCACUUCCCAUGCAAGCCUAUUUUAGUCUUAAGGUAAAAAGCAUUACAGAGAAAACAAAUUAACAACAAUAAAAGAACAUACACACAUGCUAGUAAAUUUACCAGAGAUCACCCCAAACCUAACAUGGGUCUGGCAGGAGCAGCCUUUCAGUAUCCCAGCCUAUAAGCUUUGUUGUGGUUACAAGUUCAAGAGAGCUUCAACUUAGAACAAAACAUAGUUUUAGUAGGCCCAGUCCUUCCAAUCCUACCCUAGGGAUUGGGGCCCUCAAUGGACUAGGGGCCCUGUCCAUUUGCUGGGUGAGAAAGAAGGCGCUGCAUCAGUUUAAAUCCAGGCUAUUUUUCAAAAAAAUUGUUCUUUGGCUGUUGGUCUCUGGAAAAUCCAGUUUGAACUAGUAUAUGUAUUUGUCCCCAGGGGUGUCUUCAAAGGGCUGAUAACCUAAAUAAUUACAUUACCAUCCCCCUCCUACUAGAAAAGGUACAUAUAAUGCCACAAUAACACAUAUGUAAUUACAUUUUUAAUACAAUGUACCCCAAAGGUAUUAAAUCUAAUUCAAUAACAUGUAACUUAAUUCAAUAAAGUUCAUCUUAAUUUCAUAAAAUGUGAUCAGGAUAUUACAGGAUGUUGUCAAUCUGUCACACAUAUUUGCCAUUAGAAAAAUGGGGAGCAAAGAGCUUGUGUGUGCAUUUCAGGAAAAAGAAGUUGAAAAAUAACUACCAGCAUUUUACUACAGAGGAAUGAAAAUUACCUGUUCUCUGUAUUGUUGUCCAUUCGACCUGUGUUUUUAGAGGUGGGCGUUUGUUUGUUAGCGAAUAGAGAGAAGAUGUAAAGAUUUUUUUCCCUUUUCUUUUUCGAAGUAAGAAAUCCCUCAGAAAUGUGGAAAAAAAGACCAUAGAUCAUGCCAAGCUCAUAUGGCAAGAGGACUACUCAUAUGAGUAAAGUUUGCACAGACAGGCACAGAGCAAUGAUUGUUGUUUGAGCUGCUUUUAGACAAUGAGGCGGUCAAUUGCCGGUCUGUCACCGUGUUGAUGUUAUUGGUCUUGCUGGAGUACGUAACAGGGAAGACUGUGUGAAGGUUGCCACUCCUCAAGCACAGAGUGAGGAAGAGGAAAUCUACUGAUUUGCAUGGGUGGCAGGUAUAAUAGGCUAGGGGAGGCUGUGCCU